GAUGAACGCUAGCGGCAGGCUUAAUACAUGCAAGUCGAGGGGCAUCAAGGUACACGAAAGUGUAUUGUUGGCGACCGGCGGACGGGUGAGUAAUAGGUAGGUAACCUACCUCAUACUGAGGCAUAGCUGGGAGAAAUUCCAGGUAAUUCCUCAUGAGGUUAUAUGACACAUGUGAUAUAAUCAAAGGUAUCGCAAGGUACUGGUAUGAGAUGGGCUUACUGACCAUUAGCUAGUUGGUGAGAUAAGAGCUCACCAAGGCGAAGAUGGUUAGGGGUUUUGAGAGAGAGAUCCCCCACAUUGGAACUGAGAUACGGUCCAGACUCCUACGGGAGGCAGCAGUAGGGAAUAUUGGGCAAUGGGCGGAAGCCUGACCCAGCCAUGCCGCGUGAAGGAAGACGGCCUUAUGGGUUGUAAACUUCUUUACUAUGCGACUAACUAGAUUUACGAGAUAAUUCUAUAGAAUGUAGCAUAGCAAAAGCAACCGG
Molecule: ribosomal RNA, 485 nt
Filed under: uncultured bacterium
Lineage: Bacteria
Description: bacterial SSU rRNA
Rfam family: Bacterial small subunit ribosomal RNA
Source: RNAcentral